AGAACCUUUAACAUCAGUCCCGUGAGACUGAGAAGGAACGUAAUAAUAUAGAGUAGGUCUAUCUAUAUCCUUUUUCUCAUACACGGAGAAAGGGUAUUUUUUAU
Molecule: regulatory RNA element, 104 nt
Organism: Alkalibacterium sp. 20
Lineage: Bacteria; Bacillati; Bacillota; Bacilli; Lactobacillales; Carnobacteriaceae
Rfam family: PyrR binding site
About the family: This family represents the PyrR binding site and terminator structure.
Source: Rfam